RNAcentral lists this ribosomal RNA (300 nucleotides) under uncultured marine eukaryote. RNAcentral's name for it is "SSU rRNA". The stretch from base 74 to 300 matches the Rfam family "Eukaryotic small subunit ribosomal RNA", at positions 733 to 959 of the family's 1831-position model. The record is from RNAcentral.
GGUUAACUUUGUAGUUUUACUGCUUUAUAGGCUGUGCUUUUGCGGGAGGUUUAGGGGUGCUCUUGAUCGAGUGUCUCUGGAUGCCAGCAGGUUUACUUUGAAAAAAUUAGAGUGCUCAAAGCAGGCUAAAAUGCCUGAAUAUUCGUGCAUGGAAUAAUAGAAUAGGAUGUCGAUCCUAUUUUGUUGGUUUUCGGGACUCGACAUAAUGAUAAAUAGGGACAGUCGGGGGCAUUUGUAUUCAAACGACAGAGGUGAAAUUCUUGGACCGUUUGAAGACAAACUACUGCGAAAGCAUUUGCC